RNAcentral lists this ribosomal RNA (570 nucleotides) under Oscheius tipulae. Its description in RNAcentral is "partial large subunit ribosomal RNA". The record is from RNAcentral. Lineage: Eukaryota; Metazoa; Nematoda; Chromadorea; Rhabditida; Rhabditidae.
ACGUCUAUUCCCUGAUUGGCGCCAAACCAGUCGAAAUUGUCCACCAGAGUUUUGGUUUGGUUAUUCCUGCUCUGUAUAUUUGGCCCUGCGCUGGGUGCCCUGUCGGACCUCUCCCGACUGCCCAGUGUUGCCCUCCCUUGAGGUGGUGUCUUGCUUUCUGGAAUGGUUUGCCGUGUCCAUGUUUACCUAGCCCUUUGGGUGAAAACCGGUGUUAACGUCGAUCACCGUUCUGUCCCGUCUUGAACACGGACCCUCCACUGUAACUGUUGCACGACUCGAAAGAUGUUAAAUCUUACUGCAAACUGAUUCUCACCGUCAAGUAAUCCUCAGAAAUGGCACCCUUGCUUUAUCGCUAGGCGCACCAUCGCCCUGUCGGUGGGCUUGCUUUUGGGCAGAGGUAAGCUCGUACAGGUUGCCACCCGAAAUACCGCGAACUCUGGUAGAGCAUAACCAAACCACAUCAAUGUCUAGUGGAAGUUCCUAUCUCUGCUGACCUGCAGGGAUUUCGAUUUCUCUGAAUAUCUCUGCGAAAGAUUCUUUGCACCUUUCCCUCCGGGGUUCCGUUACAAA